GAGUUUGAUCCUGGCUCAGAACGAACGCUGGCGGCGUGCUUAACACAUGCAAGUCAGGGAGAAAGUCUCUUCGGGGAUGAUUAAACCGGCGCACGGGUGAGUAACACGUGAGUGACCUGCCUUUUAGACUGGAACAACUUACCGAAAGGUGAGCUAAUGCCGGAUGAGUUAUAUAAGUGCAUGUUUAUAUAGGAAAAGUUGGGGAGACCUGACGCUGAAAGAUGGACUCGCGUCCCAUUAGCUAGUUGGUAGGGUAAUGGCCUACCAAGGCGACGAUGGGUAGCCGGCCUGAGAGGGUGGCCGGCCACACUGGGACUGAGACACGGCCCAGACUCCUACGGGAGGCAGCAGUGGGGAAUUUUGCGCAAUGCUCGUAAGAGUGACGCAGCGACGCCGCGUGAAUGACGAAGGCCUUCGGGUCGUAAAGUUCUUUCGACAGGGAAGAAAAUGCCUAUAAGUAACUGUGUAUGUAUUGACGGUACCUGUAUAAGCAGCCCCGGCUAACUCCGUGCCAGCAGCCGCGGUAAUACGGAGGGGGCGAGCGUUGUUCGGAGUGACUGGGCGCAAAGAGCACGUAGGCGGUGUUGUAAGUCAUUAGUCAAAGACUAGAGCUCAACUUUAGUAAGGCUAGUGAUACUAUAAUACUAGAGUAUCAGAGAGGAUUGCAGAAUUCCUGGUGUAGCGGUGAAAUGCGUAGAUAUCAGGAGGAAUACCGUUAGCGAAGGCGGCAAUCUGGCUGG
This 740-nucleotide ribosomal RNA is filed under the name uncultured bacterium. RNAcentral's name for it is "bacterial SSU rRNA". It matches the Rfam family "Bacterial small subunit ribosomal RNA", at positions 9 to 736 of the family's 1533-position model. The record is from RNAcentral.